This is a non-coding RNA of Hysterangium stoloniferum, 73 nucleotides long. Lineage: Eukaryota; Fungi; Basidiomycota; Agaricomycetes; Hysterangiales; Hysterangiaceae. The record is from the annotation of a GenBank genome assembly.
GAAUUGGUAGCUCAGUGAUAGAGUGUCUAGUCUGCAUUAGAGAUGGUCCCAGGUUCAAUUCCUGGCCAGUCCA